This is a long non-coding RNA of Panicum virgatum (switchgrass), 1215 nucleotides long. RefSeq lists it as uncharacterized. Lineage: Eukaryota; Viridiplantae; Streptophyta; Magnoliopsida; Poales; Poaceae. The transcript is spliced from 2 exons. The record is from RefSeq and is a predicted model, not a curated record.
CAUUCUUGGCUCCCAGCUCCUCAAUCCACUUUGUGAAGCCGACAUUCUUGGCUUGUAGCAUCUCAUUCUGCUUCCUGAUGUAAUCAUUCUUGGCUUGCACCUCCUCAUUCUGCUUUGUCAGGCCAUCAGUGUUGUCUUGCAGCUCCUCAUUUUGCUUCAUUAGGCUGUCAUUCUUGGCUUGCAGCUCCCUGUUCCCCUUCCUCAUGCCAUCACUCAUGGUUUGCAAUUCUAUAUUAUUCUUCACUAGGCCAUCAUUUUUGUCUUGCAGCUCCCCAUUCACCACCUUCAUGCAGUCAUUACUGGUUUGCAGUACCUCAUUUUGCUUCACCAGGCCAUUAUUAUUGUCUUGCAACUCCUCAUUUUGCUUCACCAAGUCAUCAUUCUUGUUCCGCAGCUCCUCAUUCGACUUUCUCAUGCCUUCAUACUUGGCGUGCAUCUCCUCAUUCUUCAUCCUCAAGCACUGUAUUUCUUCUGCAUUCAGAGCCAGCUCAACUCUCAACUUCUGAUUCGCCUCACAGUAUCCAAGCUUUUUCACAUCCUCGUCAAGUUGAGCCCUCAGAUCCUCGAUCUCAUUUAAAAUCCUCUGAGAAUCAUCGCAAGCCACCUUCAAAUGUUCUGCCCAUGGGUGACAAUAUUAAAGCAUGGCAUGAAGACAAGCGUGAAAGAUCUAAGUAGAUUUUCAGUUCUGCCCCAAGAUCCUGGCCUGUUGAGGCUGCAGAAACCAAGAAAACAUUUCCCUUCAGUAAGUGCAAGCUAUAUAUCCCACCACAGGUACAGCUAGGUGAGCAAUCUAUCACAAAGUCUGUUCCUGAGAAUAGUACAUGUUACAGCUGAACAUAAACAUAGUAAAACGAACUAGAGAAUGAGAUGGCUGGACACAAACUGAUUUUUUUCAACAAAACUAAAAUAAUAAGAUGUGUGAUGUGCCAACAAAACUGAUGAUCCAAGCAACCAAUUAGUGUCAGCAUAUCAAGUCAGCCUUCAGAAACCUUGGACGCUUGAUUCUGACUAAUUAUCACUGUUGAUUUCUCUUGACAUUUACCUAAGCUAAUUCAAGUGUAAUUGUUCCCGGCUAACUGUACCACGUCACUACACUCUGUUGCUACAAAUUCCACCACUCAGAUAGUCAGAUUGCUAAUCCUGAAGCCCAAAAGGUCUCCAUUCGUUAGCCAAUUGAAAGAGUAUGUGACCCUAACCCAAGGUCGCAGUACAGUU